GCAUAUCAAUAAGCGGAGGAAAAGAAACCAACAGGGAUUGCCCUAGUAACGGCGGAGUGAAGCGGCAACAGCUCAAAUUUGAAAUCUGGCUUCGGCCCGAGUUGUAAUUUGCAGAGGAAGCUUUAGGCGCGGCACCAUCUGAGUCCCCUGGAACGGGGCGCCAUAGAGGGUGAGAGCCCCGUAUAGAUGGACGCCUAGCCUGUGUAAAGCUCCUUCGACGAGUCGAGUAGUUUGGGAAUGCUGCUCAAAAUGGGAGGUAAAUUUCUUCUAAAGCUAAAUAUUGGCCAGAGACCGAUAGCGCACAAGUAGAGUGAUCGAAAGAUGAAAAGCACUUUGAAAAGAGGGUUAAAUAGCACGUGAAAUUGUUGAAAGGGAAGCGCUUGUGACCAGACUUGCGCCGGGCGGAUCAUCCGGUGUUCUCACCGGUGCACUCCGCCCGGCUCAGGCCAGCAUCGGUUCUCGCGGGGGGAUAAAGGCCCUGGGAACGUAGCUCCUCCGGGAGUGUUAUAGCCCGGGGCGUAAUGCCCUCGCGGGGACCGAGGACCGCGCAUCUGCAAGGAUGCUGGCGUAAUGGUCAUCAGCGACCCGUCUUGAAACACGGACCAAGGAGUCAAGGUUUUGCGCGAGUGUUUGGGUGUAAAACCCGCACGCGUAAUGAAAGUGAACGUAGGUGAGAGCUUCGGCGCAUCAUCGACCGAUCCUGAUGUUUUCGGAUGGAUUUGAGUAGGAGCGUUAAGCCUUGGACCCGAAAGAUGGUGAACUAUGCUUGGAUAGGGUGAAGCCAGAGGAAACUCUGGUGGAGGCUCGCAGCGGUUCUGACGUGCAAAUCGAUCCGUCCAAAUCUGAGCAUGGGGGCGAAAGACUAAUCGAACCAUCUAGUAGCUGGUUACCGCCGAAU
RNAcentral lists this ribosomal RNA (898 nucleotides) under Arxotrichum succineum. RNAcentral describes it as "partial large subunit ribosomal RNA". It matches the Rfam family "Eukaryotic large subunit ribosomal RNA", at positions 38 to 966 of the family's 3401-position model. The record is from RNAcentral. Lineage: Eukaryota; Fungi; Ascomycota; Sordariomycetes; Sordariales; Chaetomiaceae.